UCCUAAGAGAGGGGAGUAGGGAAUCUUCCACAAUGGACGAAAGUCUGAUGGAGCAACGCCGCGUGAGUGAAGAAGGGUUUCGGCUCGUAAAACUCUGUUGUUAAAGAAGAACAUAUCUGAGAGUAACUGUUCAGGUAUUGACGGUAUUUAACCAGAAAGCCACGGCUAACUACGUGCCAGCAGCCGCGGUAAUACGUAGGUGGCAAGCGUUGUCCGGAUUUAUUGGGCGUAAAGCGAGCGCAGGCGGUUUUUUAAGUCUGAUGUGAAAGCCUUCGGCUCAACCGAAGAAGUGCAUCGGAAACUGGGAAACUUGAGUGCAGAAGAGGACAGUGGAACUCCAUGUGUAGCGGUGAAAUGCGUAGAUAUAUGGAAGAACACCAGUGGCGAAGGCGGCUGUCUGGUCUGUAACUGACGCUGAGGCUCGAAAGUAUGGGUAGCAAACAGGAUUAGAUACCCUGGUAGUCCAUACCGUAAACGAUGAAUGCUAAGUGUUGGAGGGUUUCCGCCCUUCAGUGCUGCAGCUAACGCAUUAAGCAUCCGC
RNAcentral lists this ribosomal RNA (541 nucleotides) under Lactiplantibacillus plantarum. RNAcentral's name for it is "bacterial SSU rRNA". It matches the Rfam family "Bacterial small subunit ribosomal RNA", at positions 337 to 872 of the family's 1533-position model. Lineage: Bacteria; Bacillati; Bacillota; Bacilli; Lactobacillales; Lactobacillaceae. The record is from RNAcentral.